UACGUAGGUGGCAAGCGUUGUCCGGAAUUACUGGGUGUAAAGGGCGUGUAGGCGGGUUGUCAAGUCAGAUGUGAAAUUCCGUGGCUCAACUGCGGAGCUGCAUCUGAAACUGAUGAUCUUGAGUACUGGAGAGGGAAGCGGAAUUCCUAGUGUAGCGGUGAAAUGCGUAGAUAUUAGGAGGAACACCAGUGGCGAAGGCGGCUUUCUGGACAGUAACUGACGCUGAGGCGCGAAAGCGUGGGGAGCGAAC
This 250-nucleotide ribosomal RNA is filed under the name uncultured bacterium. Its description in RNAcentral is "partial 16S ribosomal RNA". It matches the Rfam family "Bacterial small subunit ribosomal RNA", at positions 524 to 773 of the family's 1533-position model. The record is from RNAcentral.